RNAcentral lists this non-coding RNA (45 nucleotides) under Schistosoma mansoni. The record is from RNAcentral. Lineage: Eukaryota; Metazoa; Platyhelminthes; Trematoda; Strigeidida; Schistosomatidae.
AUCUAAAUAACGAGUCCAAAAUAGAACGAAACGCGCAUCCUGGAU